UCCCUGGAGGACUAGUGUUUAGGUCACGGCACUCUCACGUCUGCGGCCCGGGUUCAAUUCCCAGCCAGGGAA
Pangasianodon gigas (Mekong giant catfish) is the source of this 72-nucleotide non-coding RNA. The record is from the annotation of a GenBank genome assembly. NCBI's taxonomy places the organism in Eukaryota, Metazoa, Chordata, Actinopteri, Siluriformes, Pangasiidae.